GACGAACGCUGGCGGCGUGCUUAACACAUGCAAGUCGAACGGUGAAGCCCCAGCUUGCUGGAGUGGAUCAGUGGCGAACGGGUGAGUAACACGUGAGCAACCUGCCCCAGACUCUGGGAUAAGCGCUGGAAACGGCGUCUAAUACCGGAUAUGAGAUCAAGUCGCAUGGCGGGGGUUGGAAAAGUUUUUCGGGUUGGGAUGGGCUCGCGGCCUACCAGCUUGUUGGGGAGGUAUUGGCUCACCAAGGCGACGACGGGUAGCCGGCCUGAGAGGGCGACCGGCCACACUGGGACUGAGACACGGCCCAGACUCCUACGGGAGGCAGCAGUGGGGAAUAUUGCACAAUGGGCGAAAGCCUGAUGCAGCGACGCCGCGUGAGGGAUGACGGCCUUCGGGUUGUAAACCUCUUUCAGCAGGGAAGAAGCGAAAGUGACGGUACCUGCAGAAGAAGCACCGGCUAACUACGUG
Molecule: ribosomal RNA, 468 nt
Filed under: uncultured bacterium
Lineage: Bacteria
Description: partial 16S ribosomal RNA
Rfam family: Bacterial small subunit ribosomal RNA
Source: RNAcentral